Molecule: ribosomal RNA, 425 nt
Filed under: uncultured bacterium
Lineage: Bacteria
Description: bacterial SSU rRNA
Rfam family: Bacterial small subunit ribosomal RNA
Source: RNAcentral
GGGGAAUAUUGCGCAAUGGGCGAAAGCCUGACGCAGCCAUACCGCGUGUGUGAAGAAGGCCUUCGGGUUGUAAAGCACUUUCAGUGGGGAGGAAAAGCUGGUGGCUAAUAUCCAUCGGCCGUGACGCUACCCACAGAAGAAGCACCGGCUAAUUCCGUGCCAGCAGCCGCGGUAAUACGGAAGGUGCGAGCGUUAAUCGGAAUUACUGGGCGUAAAGCGCACGUAGGUGGCUUGGUAAGUCGGAUGUGAAAGCCCCGGGCUCAACCUGGGAACUGCAUUCGAUACUGCUGAGCUAGAGUACGAAAGAGGGGGGUGGAACUCCAGGUGUAGCGGUGAAAUGCGUAGAGACCUGGAGGAACACCAGUGGCGAAGGCGGCCCCCUGGUUCGAUACUGACGCUGAGGGGCGAAAGCGUGGGGAGCAAAC